RNAcentral lists this ribosomal RNA (492 nucleotides) under uncultured bacterium. Its description in RNAcentral is "partial 16S ribosomal RNA". It matches the Rfam family "Bacterial small subunit ribosomal RNA", at positions 29 to 507 of the family's 1533-position model. The record is from RNAcentral.
AGUGAACGCUGGCGGUAGGCCUAACACAUGCAAGUCGAACGGCAGCACAGUAAGAUCUUGCUCUUACGGGUGGCGAGUGGCGGACGGGUGAGGAAUACAUCGGAAUCUACUUUUUCGUGGGUGAUAACGUAGGGAAACUUACGCUAAUACCGCAUACGACCUACGGGUGAAAUCAGGGGAUCUUCGGACCUUGCGCGAUUGAAUGAGCCGAUGUCGGAUUAGCUAGUUGGCUGGGUAAAGGCCCACCAAGGCGACGAUCCGUAGCUGGUCUGAGAGGAUGAUCAGCCACACUGGAACUGAGACACGGUCCAGACUCCUACGGGAGGCAGCAGUGGGGAAUAUUGGACAAUGGGCGAAAGCCUGACGCAGCAAUACCGCGUGGGUGAAGAAGGCCUUCGGGUUGUAAAGCCCUUUUGUUGGGAAAGAAAAGCAGCAGGUUAAUACACCGAUGUUCUGACGGUACCCAAAGAAUAAGCACCGGCUAACUUCGUG